GAUGAUACUUCUCCGGAAUCUCUGUAUGUUUAGUGAUGAUUCACCUUUGAACCCUUUUCCAUCUGAUGACUGUGAACUUGCUGU
Molecule: small nucleolar RNA, 84 nt
Organism: Spea bombifrons (plains spadefoot toad)
Lineage: Eukaryota; Metazoa; Chordata; Amphibia; Anura; Pelobatidae
Product: small nucleolar RNA MBII-202
Exons: 1
Source: RefSeq, a predicted model, not a curated record